This 253-nucleotide ribosomal RNA is filed under the name uncultured bacterium. RNAcentral's name for it is "partial 16S ribosomal RNA". It matches the Rfam family "Bacterial small subunit ribosomal RNA", at positions 524 to 776 of the family's 1533-position model. The record is from RNAcentral.
UACGAACUGUGCAAACGUUAUUCGGAUUCACUGGGCUUAAAGGGUGCGUAGGCGGCCAUGUAAGUAGGGUGUGAAAUCCCCCGGCUUAACCGGGGAACUGCGCCCUAAACUGUAUGGCUGGAGUGAGAUAGGGGUGUGUGGAACUUCCGGUGGAGCGGUGAAAUGUGUUGAUAUCGUCAGGAAUGCCGGUGGUGAAGACGGGUGACUGGGCUGGUUCUGACACUGAGGCACGAAAGCGUGGGGAGCGAACGGG